GCGUUGUCCGGAUUUAUUGGGCGUAAAGGGUUUUUAGGCGGCUGACAAAGUCGGGUGUGAAACCUCCAGGCUCAACCUGGAGACGCCACCCGAUACUGGUCUGGCUAGAGUCCGGUAGGGGAGCACGGAAUUCCCGGUGUAGCGGUGAAAUGCUUAGAUAUCGGGAGGAACACCAGUGGCGAAGGCGGUGCUCUGGGCCGGAACUGACGCUGAAGAACGAAAGCGU
This 226-nucleotide ribosomal RNA is filed under the name uncultured bacterium. RNAcentral's name for it is "partial 16S ribosomal RNA". It matches the Rfam family "Bacterial small subunit ribosomal RNA", at positions 538 to 762 of the family's 1533-position model. The record is from RNAcentral.